Oreochromis niloticus (Nile tilapia) is the source of this 612-nucleotide long non-coding RNA. RefSeq lists it as uncharacterized. Lineage: Eukaryota; Metazoa; Chordata; Actinopteri; Cichliformes; Cichlidae. The record is from RefSeq and is a predicted model, not a curated record. The transcript has 4 exons.
UACAAGGAUGGGCAGCUGUUUUCGCAAAGUCAGCCACCACUUGCUUCCAAAUGACCCUUAUCCAGAAGUAUCCGUGAGUGCCUCAUCAACAGAAACUAAAGUGGAGACCUACCUCUCAGAGAAAAACGCACACAUAAGAAAAGCCGACCCACUUCAGUACUGGGAAGAACAUCCUAAUCUGUUUCCCUCUAUGGCUGCUGUUGCGAUCUCAGUGUGCCCCCUGUAGCUCUGUGGACAGUUUUGGAUUUGUUUACAUCUCACCCAACCGCUCACGGCAGAUGGCUGCACCUCUCUAAGCCUGGUUCUGCCGGAGGUUUCUUCCUGUUAAAAGGGAGUUUUUCUGAACACACUCUACCACCAACAAGGACAGCUCACCAGUGGGAACUGAUAGAUAAGACUGCUGAUGUGCUCUCAUCCAUUGAAGAGCUGACCAGAAACGUGAACAGAAAGACUGCACCUGAUGGGAUCCCUGCCAUAACAGAUGUGUUCUGUCCAGUGAAGGCAGUGGAGAAGCCCUACACUGAUCUUGAAACUGUGCCACGCUAGUAGAACCGGCUACAAGGAUGGGCAGCUGUUUUCGCAAAGUCAGCCAACCACUUGCUUCCAAAUGAC